GGCAGGUCGGAAAGUAGUGUGUUAUCUCAAUUGACUGUUCACAGUCAGUCAUAGAUAGAACUUCGUGGUUCUACUCUUUCCCCCUUUCUCACUAUUGCACUUGACUUGUCUAAA
This 114-nucleotide Y RNA is filed under the name Colobus angolensis palliatus. RNAcentral's name for it is "Y RNA (ENSCANG00000010837.1)". It matches the Rfam family "Y RNA". From Rfam's summary of the family: Y RNAs are components of the Ro ribonucleoprotein particle (Ro RNP), in association with Ro60 and La proteins. The record is from Rfam by way of RNAcentral. Lineage: Eukaryota; Metazoa; Chordata; Mammalia; Primates; Cercopithecidae.